Molecule: non-coding RNA, 116 nt
Organism: Acanthosepion pharaonis
Lineage: Eukaryota; Metazoa; Mollusca; Cephalopoda; Sepiida; Sepiidae
Source: the annotation of a GenBank genome assembly
UACGGCCACAUCCUGUUGAAACACCUGUUCCCGUACGAUCACCGAAGUUAAGCAACGUCGAGCCUGAUCAGUAGUACAUAUAUGGGUGAUCGCUUGGGAACAGCAGUUGCUGUAAG